AAAAUGAAUAAUUUACAUGUAUUAUUUAAAUCUGAGCCAUUUUUAACAAUCUCAAAAGGAUUUUCAUAUAAAUAUUAAAUGUACACAUUUACAAUUUCGUGUUAUAUGUUAACAUUUAUUUUUACACAUGUUAACAAUAAUUGUGCUCCUCCAGAGUCAUGUGUGUCACAGUUGGAGCUGAAAGGAAAGCAGAGAUUUGUCCUCCCAGACGGACGCCACUUUGCUCGUCCUGCUGGUUCCUGGUGUCGUCCUGCUCUGGCUCCCAGCAGUCUCCUUUGCUGAUGCACAGAUUGUGCAGAAUUAAACUUCAGGCAAUGAUUUUCAUUGCAAAGUGCGUGUUCUGGAGUGGUGCUGGUUGUAACUGCCUCAACCACAUUCCUCAUGGGUUCCCUGUAGGGUGUCAGCAGCAUGAUGGGAUGAGCAAUGCAGGGAUACCCACCAUCACCCAAAAGGAUCCUUCAGGGCCUUUAUUCUCAUGUGGCAGCCAUUGAUGCUCCCCACAACCUUUUGGAAGGUGGAAGACCAAGCGAGCUGCUAAAAAACCAGGGGUGACUAACGGUAGUUCAUUCCCACCGGGAAGCUGGAUGACCCGGCUCACAGUGGACCGUGUCAUGUCAAAGGCCCUGGCUACCACAACGUAAGAUGUGCCACACGCCAGCCAUAAAAGUAAUACCAGGACCUCAGUCUCCUGUGCCCCCAGAGUGUGAGGAACCCGAAGCUGCUCCACCAGAUGCUCGA
Non-coding RNA from Oryzias latipes (Japanese medaka), 738 nucleotides. The record is from RefSeq and is a predicted model, not a curated record. NCBI's taxonomy places the organism in Eukaryota, Metazoa, Chordata, Actinopteri, Beloniformes, Adrianichthyidae.